RNAcentral lists this ribosomal RNA (292 nucleotides) under uncultured bacterium. RNAcentral describes it as "partial 16S ribosomal RNA". It matches the Rfam family "Bacterial small subunit ribosomal RNA", at positions 505 to 796 of the family's 1533-position model. The record is from RNAcentral.
GUGCCAGCCGCCGCGGUAAUACGAAGGGGGCUAGCGUUGCUCGGAAUUACUGGGCGUAAAGGGAGCGUAGGCGGACAGCUAAGUCAGAGGUGAAAGCCCAGGGCUCAACCCUGGAAUUGCCUUUGAUACUGGCUGUCUUGAGUAUGGGAGAGGUGUGUGGAACUCCGAGUGUAGAGGUGAAAUUCGUAGAUAUUCGGAAGAACACCAGUGGCGAAGGCGACACACUGGCCCAUUACUGACGCUGAGGCUCGAAAGCGUGGGGAGCAAACAGGAUUAGAUACCCCCGUAGUCC